UUUGACCUUCGGAUCAGGUA
This 20-nucleotide ribosomal RNA is filed under the name Amarenographium ammophilae. RNAcentral's name for it is "partial 28S ribosomal RNA". Lineage: Eukaryota; Fungi; Ascomycota; Dothideomycetes; Pleosporales. The record is from RNAcentral.